Populus euphratica (Euphrates poplar) is the source of this 94-nucleotide long non-coding RNA. RefSeq lists it as uncharacterized. The transcript has 3 exons. The record is from RefSeq and is a predicted model, not a curated record. Lineage: Eukaryota; Viridiplantae; Streptophyta; Magnoliopsida; Malpighiales; Salicaceae.
AUAUAGAAAGGAUAGUGAGCUUGCUGACUGAGAAUGGCAAUACCAGGGAUGACCUGAGGCUCCCAACCGAUGGGAGUCUCCUCUCUCGAAUUAA